GGGUUGUGAGGUUAAGCGACUAAGCGUACACGGUGGAUGCCCUGGCAGUCAGAGGCGAUGAAGGACGUGCUAAUCUGCGAUAAGCGCCGGUAAGGUGAUAUGAACCGUUAUAACCGGCGAUUUCCGAAUGGGGAAACCCAGUGUGACUCGUCACACUAUCAUUAACUGAAUCCAUAGGUUAAUGAGGCGAACCGGGGGAACUGAAACAUCUAAGUACCCCGAGGAAAAGAAAUCAACCGAGAUUCCCCCAGUAGCGGCGAGCGAACGGGGAGGAGCCCAGAGCCUGAAUCAGCAUGUGUGUUAGUGGAAGCGUCUGGAAAGGCGCGCGAUACAGGGUGACAGCCCCGUACACAAAAGCGCAUGUGCUGUGAGCUCGAUGAGUAGGGCGGGACACGUGGUAUCCUGUCUGAAUAUGGGGGGACCAUCCUCCAAGGCUAAAUACUCCUGACUGACCGAUAGUGAACCAGUACCGUGAGGGAAAGGCGAAAAGAACCCCGGCGAGGGGAGUGAAAAAGAACCUGAAACCGUGUACGUACAAGCAGUGGGAGCACAGGUUUACCUGUGUGACUGCGUACCUUUUGUAUAAUGGGUCAGCGACUUAUAUUCUGUAGCAAGGUUAACCGUAUAGGGGAGCCGGAGGGAAACCGAGUCUUAAUUGGGCGUUAAGUUGCAGGGUAUAGACCCGAAACCCGGUGAUCUAGCCAUGGGCAGGUUGAAGGUUGGGUAACACUAACUGGAGGACCGAACCGACUAAUGUUGAAAAAUUAGCGGAUGACCUGUGGCUGGGGGUGAAAGGCCAAUCAAACCGGGAGAUAGCUGGUUCUCCCCGAAAGCUAUUUAGGUAGCGCCUCGUGAAUUCAUCUCCGGGGGUAGAGCACUGUUUCGGCUAGGGGGCCAUCCCGGCUUACCAACCCGAUGCAAACUGCGAAUACCGGAGAAUGUUAUCACGGGAGACACACGGCGGGUGCUAACGUCCGUCGUGAAGAGGGAAACAACCCAGACCGCCAGCUAAGGUCCCAAAGUCAUGGUUAAGUGGGAAACGAUGUGGGAAGGCCCAGACAGCCAGGAUGUUGGCUUAGAAGCAGCCAUCAUUUAAAGAAAGCGUAAUAGCUCACUGGUCGAGUCGGCCUGCGCGGAAGAUGUAACGGGGCUAAACCAUGCACCGAAGCUGCGGCAGCGAACGUAUCACCCAAGACAACUUUACGGAGUUGACGAUUGACGGAGCGAAGCGACGUCAAAGCGUUCAUUAAAGUCGAGUUGGCUUAGGGAUACGUUCGUUGGGUAGGGGAGCGUUCUGUAAGCCUGUGAAGGUGUGUCGUGAGGCAUGCUGGAGGUAUCAGAAGUGCGAAUGCUGACAUAAGUAACGAUAAAGCGGGUGAAAAGCCCGCUCGCCGGAAGACCAAGGGUUCCUGUCCAACGUUAAUCGGGGCAGGGUGAGUCGACCCCUAAGGCGAGGCCGAAAGGCGUAGUCGAUGGGAAACGGGUUAAUAUUCCCGUACUUGGUGUUACUGCGAAGGGGGGACGGAGAAGGCUAUGUUGGCCGGGCGACGGUUGUCCCGGUUUAAGCGUGUAGGCUGGUUUUCCAGGCAAAUCCGGAAAAUCAAGGCUGAGGCGUGACGACGAGGCACUACGGUGCUGAAGCAACAAAUGCCCUGCUUCCAGGAAAAGCCUCUAAGCAUCAGGUAACAUCAAAUCGUACCCCAAACCGACACAGGUGGUCAGGUAGAGAAUACCAAGGCGCUUGAGAGAACUCGGGUGAAGGAACUAGGCAAAAUGGUGCCGUAACUUCGGGAGAAGGCACGCUGACAUGUAGGUGAAGUGAUUUACUCAUGGAGCUGAAGUCAGUCGAAGAUACCAGCUGGCUGCAACUGUUUAUUAAAAACACAGCACUGUGCAAACACGAAAGUGGACGUAUACGGUGUGACGCCUGCCCGGUGCCGGAAGGUUAAUUGAUGGGGUCAGCGCAAGCGAAGCUCCUGAUCGAAGCCCCGGUAAACGGCGGCCGUAACUAUAACGGUCCUAAGGUAGCGAAAUUCCUUGUCGGGUAAGUUCCGACCUGCACGAAUGGCGUAAUGAUGGCCAGGCUGUCUCCACCCGAGACUCAGUGAAAUUGAACUCGCUGUGAAGAUGCAGUGUACCCGCGGCAAGACGGAAAGACCCCGUGAACCUUUACUAUAGCUUGACACUGAACAUUGAGCCUUGAUGUGUAGGAUAGGUGGGAGGCUUUGAAGCGUGGACGCCAGUCUGCGUGGAGCCGACCUUGAAAUACCACCCUUUAAUGUUUGAUGUUCUAACGUGGACCCGUAAUCCGGGUUGCGGACAGUGUCUGGUGGGUAGUUUGACUGGGGCGGUCUCCUCCUAAAGAGUAACGGAGGAGCACGAAGGUUGGCUAAUCCUGGUCGGACAUCAGGAGGUUAGUGCAAUGGCAUAAGCCAGCUUGACUGCGAGCGUGACGGCGCGAGCAGGUGCGAAAGCAGGUCAUAGUGAUCCGGUGGUUCUGAAUGGAAGGGCCAUCGCUCAACGGAUAAAAGGUACUCCGGGGAUAACAGGCUGAUACCGCCCAAGAGUUCAUAUCGACGGCGGUGUUUGGCACCUCGAUGUCGGCUCAUCACAUCCUGGGGCUGAAGUAGGUCCCAAGGGUAUGGCUGUUCGCCAUUUAAAGUGGUACGCGAGCUGGGUUUAGAACGUCGUGAGACAGUUCGGUCCCUAUCUGCCGUGGGCGCUGGAGAACUGAGGGGGGCUGCUCCUAGUACGAGAGGACCGGAGUGGACGCAUCACUGGUGUUCGGGUUGUCAUGCCAAUGGCACUGCCCGGUAGCUAAAUGCGGAAGAGAUAAGUGCUGAAAGCAUCUAAGCACGAAACUUGCCCCGAGAUGAGUUCUCCCUGAGACUUUAGGUCUCCUGAAGGAACGUUGAAGACGACGACGUUGAUAGGCCGGGUGUGUAAGCGCAGCGAUGCGUUGAGCUAACCGGUACUAAUGAACCGUGAGGCUUAACCUUACAACGCCGAAG
RNAcentral lists this ribosomal RNA (3011 nucleotides) under Salmonella enterica subsp. enterica serovar Saintpaul. RNAcentral describes it as "bacterial LSU rRNA". It matches the Rfam family "Bacterial large subunit ribosomal RNA". Lineage: Bacteria; Pseudomonadati; Pseudomonadota; Gammaproteobacteria; Enterobacterales; Enterobacteriaceae. The record is from RNAcentral. RNAcentral also lists the same sequence under 1 other name.